RNAcentral lists this ribosomal RNA (301 nucleotides) under Salmonella enterica subsp. enterica serovar Derby. RNAcentral describes it as "partial 23S ribosomal RNA". It matches the Rfam family "Bacterial large subunit ribosomal RNA", at positions 1 to 307 of the family's 2925-position model. The record is from RNAcentral. RNAcentral also lists the same sequence under 1 other name. Lineage: Bacteria; Pseudomonadati; Pseudomonadota; Gammaproteobacteria; Enterobacterales; Enterobacteriaceae.
GGUUAAGCGACUAAGCGUACACGGUGGAUGCCCUGGCAGUCAGAGGCGAUGAAGGACGUGCUAAUCUGCGAUAAGCGCCGGUAAGGUGAUAUGAACCGUUAUAACCGGCGAUUUCCGAAUGGGGAAACCCAGUGUGAUUCGUCACACUAUCAUUAACUGAAUCCAUAGGUUAAUGAGGCGAACCGGGGGAACUGAAACAUCUAAGUACCCCGAGGAAAAGAAAUCAACCGAGAUUCCCCCAGUAGCGGCGAGCGAACGGGGAGGAGCCCAGAGCCUGAAUCAGCAUGUGUGUUAGUGGAAG